GGAGACGAGGGAGCCCUGGAAAAACCCUCUCUGGAGAAAGUCACAACACGGCAGGUGCUGGAGCACCGCCACGGCUAAUUGUGUGAUGUGUUCUCUCGAAAAUGAAAACACUUAAUUUUUCUAAAGUGUUUCUUUAAUUUCUAUGUUCUAAACUCCUAUAUAACUAAAUUUCUAUAAUUGUCUCUACCAGGCCACUUUUGACUGGACAGAUUUUGCAGAGAAUUGCCACAGAAUUUAACCAGUUACACUUUCAUGCUAUUCAAAUCAAAGGCAUGCCUCUUUUGGACACAGUAAGACCAGAAAGUGUUUUAGAUUUCCACAGUUGUUGUUUAGGAAUUUGCUAAAUAGUUUUGCUUUCACCUAGUAAUGCUUCUAGUAAUUAUUGACCUACAGGAUUCUGAAACUACUUCAGAAUUUUUUCAGUUUGUUUUUUGGGCCCCUGCUUCCUGAAUGCCACACAUUGGUGAUUUCAUGUAAAACACAGGCAUGUUCUCUGAAUUAUAAGAGUAAAACUAAUCCUGAAUUUCUUGUAAAUUGACAUAUAUGAUGUAACAAGAGUUAAUUUAUCCAAAGUCCUUGACUGGGCUUUAGAUUCAUGAUGUUUGUAAGACUUAUUCUGUAGCUUAAGAGAAAAAUAACUCUUUUUUUUGUCAUUCUGUAAUUUUGUCUAACCUCUCCUUUGAGGAAGCAAAGAUUUACUUAUGAAGAGACUGGGGAGGAGAAGAUAAUCAUUGUUACUCUACAGGAAGUGUUAAUAUUUUCAUUUUGCAUGUAUUCUAUUAGAAAAUAGAUUUGGUAUGUAAAUAUUUGAAUUUUUAGAAGUUAUUCCAAUUUUCUUACCUAUUUCUUCUUGCAGCAUAUAGCUGGUAUAACAGUCAUGUUACAACGGUCGCUAGAAGGCCUCCUAUUAGAAGGGCUUCAGACCUCCAACGUUGAUAUAAUACAGCGCUGCUUACGGAUCUAUGCCACGAUUGACAAGACCUGGGAUGCUGAGGCCUUACUUGGUCAAGUGCUAGUGAAACGGUACGUGGAUGAGGAGAAAAUACAGAGGGCUGUGCAUCCGAGGAACAAAUCCCAGAAGCUAACCCUGAAGAUACAGGUAUCAGUGUAGAGUCAGAAAAACUGGACGUGGAAAAUAAACAUUACAGAAAUGUGGUAUUUCAAGACUGUGAAAAAGACCAAGAUAACACAACAAAAGAUCCAAGCAAUGAUGUUAAAACCCCCAAUACAGAAACCAGGACAGGUUGCUUAAUUAAGUAUAACGUAUCUACUACGCCAUGCUUGCAAAGGGUGAGAGUGAGCCCCUACAAUGUGGAGGGACUCUGCAGGCAUCAAGACCGGCUUGCUUGCACGCCCAGCCCCUGAUCCCCCGGCUGCUGCGGUCCAUCGUGCCCCUUGGACUGCGGAUGCUUAAGAUCAGUUACGUGUAGACCUGGGUUUGUUAAACAGCAUCUCCAAGGAUGUGCAUCAUCGAUGGUGCAUGAGCUUUGCAGUCCAAUAGACCUACAUUCCAAAUCUCAGCUCCUACCUUCCCUUAAAAGUUAUGUGACCCUGGAGAAGUUACAAGGUGAACCUCAUCUUUCUGAAGAGUAAGGUAAGAGAUACCCCUUGCUGGUCAUUUUUUACCAUGGUUAUUUGCCUGUCCCCCGGUUGAUGGGCCAGAAUGGGCCUGACCCAAGCUGAACUGUCAGAGUGCUUUCCAUAGGGAUGUGGCAUCCAGACUGAGAAUUCUGUGUCGUUAGACCUGAAAUAUGUAAAUGUGAGGUACUGGGUGACCAUAUGGAAACUGGGGAGCAAAGGUCACAGUCAACAGAGAGGACAGUGAAGUAAUUACCCAGGGAAAAACAGACUGCUGGCUGGGGUUUUCUGUAGCCUAUUAGUUUUGUAUCCAAAUAAUUCUCAUUAAAUCCAAAUAUGGUUAAAGCAAAAUUCCUCUACUGGGAAUUUUAAUGGGAAUAAUCCCAUUACCCUUCUUAAAUGUCAUUGAUUAGUAUGGGAACCUUCGAAAUUCCUUUCUGUAUAUUUAACAAAAAUACACACACACAAACACACGUAUUUGGACUUUGUAGAUUUUUUUUGCUUCAUUAGAUAAAGUGGUGCCAUACUUCGGUAUGGUUCUGUGAUUUGUGUUUGUAAUUUACUAAGUAAAAAGGAGCUUUUCAUUGACACACAUCAAUGUAACAUUAAGACUACAUGGGAGCUUAGUAAAUGAUAAACUUUACAUUUCGAAAUAGUAAAGGAUCUCUGUGAGUCAGCCACCCAUUCGGAGAACAAAUUUCCAUCUACACCACUUGCAAAAACAAAUUCCAGGUAGAAUAAAUAGUUAAACUGAAGUAUAUUAGAAGGAAAUGUAAAUAGAUUUUUCCCUAGGAGAGGGAGGGCUUUCUUAAGGUUUUUAUAAGGUAACUUUUGUAAAGGAAUGUUUAACACUGCAGGGGGCGGUAGGGCACUCAGGCACGGAGCAGCAGGGCUGUGCCACCCCAGUGGGUACAAGCAGGAGACAUCCAGGAGCCAGACCAGCUGCCACACCAGAGACCUUCACAAUUCUGUGAGAAAAUGGAUUGUAAAGCUAGAUUUCUACACCCAAAAUACCAUUCAAGUUUGAGGGCAAAAUAAUGUUUUCAAGCUUGCAAAGAUUCAGAUUAACGCUCAUAAAUUUAUCUAAAAGUAUUCCUAAAGGUUUUAUUCCAGUGAAAUAGAAAGUGAAUUUCAGACUAAAAGAAUUGUCAGGCCAGCCAAAUCAAAAUAAAAAACAGGGAAAUCUGUGUAAUUGUAUGUUACAGUAUGAAUUUUGCAGAAUGAAAACACUGCAACGAUUUCAGCAGGAGAGGCACCAAGGCUUCUGUGGAGAGUUACAGCUAAUUCUCUUGCUGGUGAGCUUGUGUGUGGGAGCAGGAAACAGAAAUUUGGGCUCACUCUUAUUGUCUAGUAAGUACUAGGGGUUUAUGUGUAAAAAAUACAAAAUGCCAAGGCAAGACCCAGCAACGCCAUUCCUAAGUAUCCAGGAGAAGAGAAAAUAAGCCCCACAGAUUGUACACAAAGACACUCAUGGUCUUAGUCGUGUUAGUCAAAAACGGAAAACCCGAAGCUCCAUCAGCUGGUGAAUGGGAAAACAUUGUGUGCGAUAUUCAUACUCAAGCAACCUAUGAAUAAGGAGAUUUGAGCAAAAGGACACGGAAAUUAAGAAAAAGGAACCAACUACUGAUAAACAAUACAGAAUUUUAAAAAACAGACAGAACAAAUGACAUAUUGUAUGAUCCCAUUUAUGUGAAAUUCUAGAAAAGAUAAAACUAUAGUGACAAAGCACACUGGUGGUCAACUGGGGCCAGGGGCUGGUGGUCUGUCUGACUAAAAGGGAAGUAAAAUUUUUUGGAGCAGA
Manis javanica (Malayan pangolin) is the source of this 3379-nucleotide non-coding RNA. Lineage: Eukaryota; Metazoa; Chordata; Mammalia; Pholidota; Manidae. The record is from RefSeq and is a predicted model, not a curated record.